GCCCUGGCCGAGUGGUUAAGGCGUUUGACUAGAAAUCAAAUGGGAUCUUCCCGCGUAGGUUCGAAUCCUACUCGCAACG
RNAcentral lists this transfer RNA (79 nucleotides) under Lytechinus variegatus (green sea urchin). RNAcentral describes it as "tRNA-Ser". The stretch from base 5 to 71 matches the Rfam family "tRNA", at positions 8 to 63 of the family's 71-position model. Rfam says of the family: Transfer RNA (tRNA) molecules are approximately 80 nucleotides in length. Their secondary structure includes four short double-helical elements and three loops (D, anti-codon, and T loops). Lineage: Eukaryota; Metazoa; Echinodermata; Echinoidea; Temnopleuroida; Toxopneustidae. The record is from RNAcentral.